Ostrea edulis (European flat oyster) is the source of this 1645-nucleotide long non-coding RNA. RefSeq lists it as uncharacterized. The transcript has 2 exons. The record is from RefSeq and is a predicted model, not a curated record. Lineage: Eukaryota; Metazoa; Mollusca; Bivalvia; Ostreida; Ostreidae.
GUAUAUAUAUACAUGGUUUGAGGUAGUUGACGGGUAGAUUAUAGGACAAGUCAAUGUAAGAAGGACUGAUGUUGACUUUGCGGAGGAUCAUUUGACGAGUUUAGAGGACGACAAUAUAGUGUUAUUUUUGAAGAUCGCAGAGACAGUAGAUCUAUAGAAGGGGGGAAUAACUUUAAUUAGAAGAUUUAAUUUUAAAAAAUAACGUGAAGAAUUCAAAGAAAAGAGAAAACAUAUGGCAUCAUGGGAUACAAUUUUGGAAGGGGUAUUAGAAAAAAGGCGUGCACUAGAAAGACCGAGCCUCCAAGCAGCGUUUGAUAGCUUUGAAGAAGCCAAACAAAUUUAUGAUUCGAAAUGGAAGGAAGGAAGAACAUCUGCAAUCGGCGAUCUUAAGAAAAUAGAGAGGAAAAUUUUAUCCGAUGAAGAUACGUACAAAAGAGAACAGGAAUUCACAUUGCAUGAAAGCUUUGUCGGUAAUAUACUGAUGGUAAUAGGAUUUAUUGGGUGUCCCUUUAUGGGCGAAAAGAUGUUAAAUCUGUUAGCAUUAGGAGCAUGCGUGUCGAUCAUAUCGAAAAUAUAUGACGUGAUUUACAUGCAAAAGAAACUUAUAAAUACGUCCUCUAAUUUUAAAAAGGCAAAGCAUAUUCUAGACCAACAUGCUCUUGAUACAAGAAGGUUAAAUACACUCUUACAAACAUUUAAGACAAAUGUAUCAAAAUUGCACACAUAAACUCGGAGAACACUGCGGAUGUUAAAUAUUACCUUAAUGAUGUCGGACUGCCAGCUAACUAUGACGUAGAAGAGGCGGUGAAAAUCCUCGUCAAUGGACCGAAAGUUAACGAAAACUUAUCAACCACGCUAACUGAACUUCCAAUCACUGUAGAUGAGGGUGUGCUUUUGAUAUGGACAUUGGUUCAAUUCAUACCCAUGGUUAUAACUAAAACGAAGUUGUCCAACGAUGAAUUACACGAACAAUCAAGGAUGGUGGAACGAGGGAUCGCUAAAUUGGAUUCCGAAUUAACCGAAUGUCACUUGAUUUUCCGCUAAGAAAAUCAAAACUCAUUUUCCUUUUAAUUCAAUUUGGAGAAAUCGUAUUUAAAAAGACAAGAUUAAACAGGAUUUGCAAGCAUAAAAGUUGGACCGACACUUCCAUCUACAGCGUCGACAGUCAUGAUAAAAUCGAUAGAUGCAUUUGAAGGGUUCAAGAAAUCCACGUCAUCACUUAUAUGUCAUGAAGUACACAUUAUAAUUAAAGAAAAUAUUUAGAUUGGUUUAUUGAAUAUUGACCCAAAUGCCGAGAAUAAUUGAAUGAUGCAUUUGUUGUAAAACUUCAUCUCAUAAACCUCUUGGUAACAGGAUCUGUAGAUAUUCAGACAUACAAUCUUUUGAUAUACUCUUUUUCAUGUGCAUCUCAAUCAAUGAAUCCCAUAUCGUUAUAUAAUGCCUAAAAGAAGGACUAUGUGUCUGCAUUUGGGAGGAAUCUUUAUCGCGCCAUAUCUGUUGUGACAUGGAACUUCCGUUUUUGCGGUCUCAUCUGAAGGACCGCCCCAUUAAGUCACCUGUUACGACAAGUUAGGAGUACAAAGGACUUAUUCUACCCCAUCCCCACACAUAGGGUAUUUGUUUUGUAAUAAAAUUGUUAAGUCUG